CGUAUGCAUUUUUUAUACUCACGCUGAUCCUUCAAUGACGACAGUGUAAGGUAAAGCCCAAUGAUUUAGCAUUCAUAACAAGAAUCUGUCUUUCUUACUCUAUAAUGGGCGCACCAUUCAUUCGCAGGCAAGCAGCGGGAAGCAGGAAAAGGGGGACUAGACGGCACCAGGCAGUAAGUGGCCAUCAUGCAGGUGCAUACACUGACAUUAUGCCUUGCCAUUUUACAUUCCAAGGACACGAGCAGAAGGACAAGCGCAAGGAACAGGACAAGCGCAAGGAUGGUAAGGAUAUGAACAAGAGUCGGGCUCAAACGGGACGUGGCAGGCCACGUAACGGCCGUUCGGAGGUAUGAAGCCUCUGGUGCAAGACCAUGGCUAUUAACUAAAUGCUUUUUAUUGCGUUAUUUCGAGGCACGUUAUGCCGGUGUCACACCUACAGCCGUCAUUGCACGUAACACGCUCACAACUAUGUGUUCCUGCCUAAACAAUGAUUUGUUGUGAUGCAGAAAUAUGCCUUCCGUCGUGAACAUGACACGCGAGCGGAGGCGAGGAUUGAGCGCUUUAACAAGAAGACAAUAGUGGCGGUAUUGUGGUACAGUUACAUGCGCUUAGCUUUUGUGUGCCCAUUUUUUCUGACGUUUAGACUGUUGAACCCGUUUACAUGGAGUUGCUGGCUGAGUUGCAUUAGGAUUUGCUAUGAAUUCGUACCUGUUAUUCAGGAAUAGUUGAAAUGUAUGAAGAAAACAGUGAGUGCUGUGGUUCACAGGUCAUGUGCAACGGCGGUGCACUUUGCACAUUGUACAGCUCGUGUACUGCUAUUGUAAUGCUUUUGUAUUGCACGGUUGGCCGUACAGUUCGCAGUCCCGCACGCAAAUCGCAGUCACUCGCGUAAAAUUCAAAUGGUAGCACAUGAAUUCGCAGGAUUCGCAGUCGCGUAGCCAUUCGCAAUCCCUUGGCGAUGCGCUUGCGUUAAAAGUCAC
This 980-nucleotide long non-coding RNA is filed under the name Volvox carteri. Its description in RNAcentral is "long non-coding RNA (VCAR_LNC001309)". The record is from RNAcentral. Lineage: Eukaryota; Viridiplantae; Chlorophyta; Chlorophyceae; Chlamydomonadales; Volvocaceae.